GAAGGAAUGUGUGACCAUUUCCAACGGUCAGUCACCACGAACAGGAGCACUCAGCAUGCUGCCCCAGCACUGGAGAAGCAGCGCUGUGGAGGCAAUCUGUCACACUGUCAGAGUCUGGGACUUGACUUGCUACCAACUGCUGUGCAAUUCUGCUGAGCAGGAAUAUCAUGAGCUGUUCAAUAAUGACGGACGCAUUGGUUGAGAUGAAGUUUCCAGUAAGGAAGUGACAGUGCAAUGUGGAUAUUUAUGGCCGUAAAACAGGAAGAGCUUUAGUUCCCAGGCUGAACCUGCCACUGCUGGAGCCAUUUCAACAAGGCAUCCUCACAACAAAGAAGAGAUGUGAUUUGGUACCAUUUCACAUCAGCAGGUGUCUGGACGAAAACAUCAAUGUGAAUAAGGGCCAAGUGCAGUCCUGUCU
This 418-nucleotide long non-coding RNA is filed under the name Pan troglodytes (chimpanzee). RNAcentral's name for it is "long non-coding RNA NONPTRT018248". Lineage: Eukaryota; Metazoa; Chordata; Mammalia; Primates; Hominidae. The record is from RNAcentral.